This 494-nucleotide ribosomal RNA is filed under the name Salmonella enterica subsp. enterica serovar Montevideo. Its description in RNAcentral is "bacterial SSU rRNA". It matches the Rfam family "Bacterial small subunit ribosomal RNA", at positions 195 to 670 of the family's 1533-position model. The record is from RNAcentral. Lineage: Bacteria; Pseudomonadati; Pseudomonadota; Gammaproteobacteria; Enterobacterales; Enterobacteriaceae.
GCAAGACCAAAGAGGGGGACCUUCGGGCCUCUUGCCAUCAGAUGUGCCCAGAUGGGAUUAGCUUGUUGGUGAGGUAACGGCUCACCAAGGCGACGAUCCCUAGCUGGUCUGAGAGGAUGACCAGCCACACUGGAACUGAGACACGGUCCAGACUCCUACGGGAGGCAGCAGUGGGGAAUAUUGCACAAUGGGCGCAAGCCUGAUGCAGCCAUGCCGCGUGUAUGAAGAAGGCCUUCGGGUUGUAAAGUACUUUCAGCGGGGAGGAAGGUGUUGUGGUUAAUAACCGCAGCAAUUGACGUUACCCGCAGAAGAAGCACCGGCUAACUCCGUGCCAGCAGCCGCGGUAAUACGGAGGGUGCAAGCGUUAAUCGGAAUUACUGGGCGUAAAGCGCACGCAGGCGGUCUGUCAAGUCGGAUGUGAAAUCCCCGGGCUCAACCUGGGAACUGCAUUCGAAACUGGCAGGCUUGAGUCUUGUAGAGGGGGGUAGAAUUCC